AGGAGAUGGUAGUGGGUUACUGGAACUUACUAACAUUAGUGUCAGUAAAGUUGGUAUUCAACGCCCCACUGAUAAAUUUGACUGGCUUAAA
RNAcentral lists this small RNA (91 nucleotides) under Microcebus murinus (gray mouse lemur). RNAcentral's name for it is "Y RNA (ENSMICG00000023646.3)". The record is from RNAcentral. Lineage: Eukaryota; Metazoa; Chordata; Mammalia; Primates; Cheirogaleidae.